This 324-nucleotide ribosomal RNA is filed under the name uncultured eukaryote. RNAcentral's name for it is "partial 18S ribosomal RNA". It matches the Rfam family "Eukaryotic small subunit ribosomal RNA", at positions 1470 to 1796 of the family's 1831-position model. The record is from RNAcentral.
CCCUUAGAUGUUCUGGGCUGCACGCGCGCUACACUGAUGCGAUCAACAAGUUUUUCCUAUGUCGAUAGACACGGGUAAUCUUUUGAACUCGCAUCGUGAUGGGGAUAGAUUAUUGUAAUUAUUAAUCUUCAACGAGGAAUUCCUAGUAGGUGCAAAUCAUCAGUUUGCAUCGAUUACGUCCCUGCCCUUUGUACACACCGCCCGUCGCUGCUACCGAUUGGUUGAUCUGGUGAAUUAUUCGGACUGCCGGCUGAAGGGGUUUCCUCAUCUGCCAGCGGAAAGUCUUGUUAACCCUAUCAACUAGAGGAAGUAGAAGUCGUAACA